This 156-nucleotide ribosomal RNA is filed under the name Euphorbia lathyris. RNAcentral describes it as "5.8S ribosomal RNA". It matches the Rfam family "5.8S ribosomal RNA". Rfam says of the family: 5.8S ribosomal RNA (5.8S rRNA) is a component of the large subunit of the eukaryotic ribosome. It is transcribed by RNA polymerase I as part of the 45S precursor that also contains 18S and 28S rRNA. Lineage: Eukaryota; Viridiplantae; Streptophyta; Magnoliopsida; Malpighiales; Euphorbiaceae. The record is from RNAcentral.
AACGACUCUCGGCAACGGAUAUCUCGGCUCUCGCAUCGAUGAAGAACGCAGCGAAAUGCGAUACUUGGUGUGAAUUGCAGGAUCCCGCGAACCAUCGAGUCUUUGAACGCAAGUUGCGCCCGAAGCCUUCCGGCCGAGGGCACGCCUGCCUGGGUG